GUGUAUUUAUUAGAUAAAAAACCAAUGCCCUUCGGGGCUCCUUGGUGAUUCAUGAUAACUUAACGAAUCGCAUGGCCUUGCGCCGGCGAUGGUUCAUUCAAAUUUCUGCCCUAUCAACUUUCGAUGGUAGGAUAGUGGCCUACCAUGGUUUUAACGGGUAACGGGGAAUUAGG
This 173-nucleotide ribosomal RNA is filed under the name Chaetothyriales sp. RNAcentral describes it as "partial 18S small subunit ribosomal RNA". It matches the Rfam family "Eukaryotic small subunit ribosomal RNA", at positions 201 to 374 of the family's 1831-position model. The record is from RNAcentral. Lineage: Eukaryota; Fungi; Ascomycota; Eurotiomycetes; Chaetothyriales.